AGAUGUGAGGGCCAUCUAGCUGCUACAUCUGUCACCCCACUGAUCACCAACAAUAAUUCAGCUGAUCUGGCUUGCUAGGCCGGUGUCCCUUUCUUCCCUCACCACUCCACAUGCCUCCGUUCAGAAGCUGUGCUCAGUCUAAGAGGAUGACCACCCUGCAUAGAGGAGACUCAUUCUUCCGUGAAGAGUGUGUGGAUAGCAGGACUCACUUGCCAAAACCUCCAAACAACUUCUCAAAUUUGUUUACUACAGGGAAAGAGUUUAUAGCCCAUUCGACUCAUUCUUCCUUAUUAGGAAAAGUUGGGGCUGUAACUGAAGUGA
RNAcentral lists this small nuclear RNA (321 nucleotides) under Octodon degus (degu). RNAcentral's name for it is "7SK RNA (ENSODEG00000023642.1)". It matches the Rfam family "7SK RNA". Rfam says of the family: 7SK was discovered as an abundant small nuclear RNA in the mid-70s but a possible function has only recently been suggested. The record is from RNAcentral. Lineage: Eukaryota; Metazoa; Chordata; Mammalia; Rodentia; Octodontidae.